Molecule: ribosomal RNA, 473 nt
Filed under: Escherichia coli
Lineage: Bacteria; Pseudomonadati; Pseudomonadota; Gammaproteobacteria; Enterobacterales; Enterobacteriaceae
Description: bacterial SSU rRNA
Rfam family: Bacterial small subunit ribosomal RNA
Source: RNAcentral
AAAUUGAAGAGUUUGAUCAUGGCUCAGAUUGAACGCUGGCGGCAGGCCUAACACAUGCAAGUCGAACGGUAACAGGAAGCAGCUUGCUGCUUCGCUGACGAGUGGCGGACGGGUGAGUAAUGUCUGGGAAACUGCCUGAUGGAGGGGGAUAACUACUGGAAACGGUAGCUAAUACCGCAUAACGUCGCAAGACCAAAGAGGGGGGCCUUCGGGCCUCUUGCCAUCGGAUGUGCCCAGAUGGGAUUAGCUAGUAGGUGGGGUAACGGCUCACCUAGGCGACGAUCCCUAGCUGGUCUGAGAGGAUGACCAGCCACACUGGAACUGAGACACGGUCCAGACUCCUACGGGAGGCAGCAGUGGGGAAUAUUGCACAAUGGGCGCAAGCCUGAUGCAGCCAUGCCGCGUGUAUGAAGAAGGCCUUCGGGUUGUAAAGUACUUUCAGCGGGGAGGAAGGGAGUAAAGUUAAUACCUUU